This is a small nucleolar RNA of Arachis stenosperma, 91 nucleotides long. RefSeq annotates it as small nucleolar RNA snoR31. The record is from RefSeq and is a predicted model, not a curated record. The transcript has a single exon. Lineage: Eukaryota; Viridiplantae; Streptophyta; Magnoliopsida; Fabales; Fabaceae.
UAGGUAAGGAUGAAGCAAAAUUCAUAAUCCAACACUUGAUCUGAGUUCUUUAAGAGUGAUGGUAAACUAAUCAAUAUGCUUCUGAAUCUAC